UCUCCCCCUGUCGGUAAGUUCUACGUUCCGGUGCAUCGUUGUCAUUGUCAAGUAGAAUUUGCCAAAGCAUUCGGAAGCAAACGGAAUCUCGUUUAUAACCGAUCAUCGAACGCAUACGAUAUUUUUCGCGACAGAAAGAAAAUUUCUCCUAAGAGAAGCGACCGCCGCUGCGAAUUUCUAAUCGGUCUGACCAUGAAUUACCGAUUCCAUUACUUUUCCAAUUGAGUGUUAAGAAUUCGAGAGAGAGAGAGAGAGAGAGACAUGAAAUCGUUGCGACUCGCAGACGCCAAGAUUUGUUCCACGUGACUUGUCGCCUCUCGUUUCCGCUUUCCAGUCGCAUGACGGACUACAAGGAAUGAAACCAUUGACGCGUUUCCGGCCACAGCGAGGACAAACGUGACAACGUAGAAGAGAAGAAGCGACGUUUAAAUCAAAGAUGUAUGGCUGGAACGUGAGAACGCUCUUUGAACUCUCCAAGGCAAGUGCCACAUCGAAGGUGAGUGUUACUGUUAAAACGGUCAUGAGAAAUGGAGAUUAUACUCAUCUACUGUUAGGGUCUAUCUACUCCAAUAAAUAGCCGACGACCGUGAGAUUCGCCGAGUAACGAGAAACGAAAAACGGCGAAGGAUUUUAAUCCGUCCUCUCCUGUCCCCGAUCAUCUACGUCAUUGCGGUACGUGAUUUUACAAAGAGAAGCGAGGCAAGCUGGCAGACAGGCAAAACCAGGCAAGGAGGCCGGCAGGCAAGCAGACAGGAAAGCAGGCAGAUGGCGAAUGGAGUGGAGCGUUUUACGCCUGGCUUCUCGAAAUUCGAAUUAGGAAUCUUUCAUCGCGUUCAUUCCACUACAUCAUUCUUAUCGAUCUUUGAAUUGAAUUUUUUCGUUGAAUUGCUUUUAAAUCGAAGCGAUCUAAUAACGAAUAAAAACGAAUACAAGCGGA
Vespula pensylvanica (western yellowjacket) is the source of this 937-nucleotide long non-coding RNA. RefSeq lists it as uncharacterized. The transcript has 3 exons. NCBI's taxonomy places the organism in Eukaryota, Metazoa, Arthropoda, Insecta, Hymenoptera, Vespidae. The record is from RefSeq and is a predicted model, not a curated record.